Trichonephila clavata is the source of this 83-nucleotide non-coding RNA. Lineage: Eukaryota; Metazoa; Arthropoda; Arachnida; Araneae; Nephilidae. The record is from the annotation of a GenBank genome assembly.
GUCAGGAUGGUGAGUGGUCUAAGGCGCCAGAUUUAAGCUCUGGUGCACGAAAGAGAGCAUGGCUUCGAACCCUACUUCUGACA